CGAACGGCAGCACAGGAGAGCUUGCUCUCUGGGUGGCGAGUGGCGGCCGGGUGAGGAAUACAUCGGAAUCUACUCUGUCGUGGGGGAUAACGUAGGGAAACUUACGCUAAUACCGCAUACGACCUACGGGUGAAAGCAGGGGACCUUCGGGCCUUGCGCGAUUGAAUGAGCCGAUGUCGGAUUAGCUAGUUGGCGGGGUAAAGGCCCACCAAGGCGACGAUCCGUAGCUGGUCUGAGAGGAUGAUCAGCCACACUGGAACUGAGACACGGUCCAGACUCCUACGGGAGGCAGCAGUGGGGAAUAUUGGACAAUGGGCGCAAGCCUGAUCCAGCCAUACCGCGUGGGUGAAGAAGGCCUUCGGGUUGUAAAGCCCUUUUGUUGGGAAAGAAAUCCAGCUGGCUAAUACCCGGUUGGGAUGACGGUACCCAAAGAAUAAGCACCGGCUAACUUCGUGCCAGCAGCCGCGGUAAUACGGAGGG
Molecule: ribosomal RNA, 480 nt
Filed under: bacterium ANr02A
Lineage: Bacteria
Description: bacterial SSU rRNA
Rfam family: Bacterial small subunit ribosomal RNA
Source: RNAcentral